CCUACGGGAGGCUGCAGUGAGGAAUAUUGGUCAAUGGGAGAGAUCCUGAACCAGCCAAGCCGCGUGAGGGAAGACGGCCCUAUGGGUCGUAAACCGCUUUUGCACGGGGAUAACACCCUCCACUUGUGGAGGUCUGCAGGUACCGUGCGAAUAAGGGCCGGCUAAUUCCGUGCCAGCAGCCGCGGUAAUACGGAAGGCCCGAGCGUUAUCUGGAUUCAUUGGGCUUAAAGGGAGCGUAGGCGGGCGUUCAAGUCAGCUGUAAAAUCGCGCGGCUCAACCGCGCCCCGCAGUUGAAACUGGACGCCUUGAGUUCACAACAGGCAGGCGGAAUUCGUGGUGUAGCGGUGAAAUGCAUAGAUAUCACGAGGAACCCCGAUUGCGAAGGCAGCCUGCCGGGGUGCGACUGACGCUGAGGCUCGAAGGUGCGGGUAUCAAACAGGAUUAGAUACCCUGGUAGUC
Molecule: ribosomal RNA, 459 nt
Filed under: uncultured bacterium
Lineage: Bacteria
Description: partial 16S ribosomal RNA
Rfam family: Bacterial small subunit ribosomal RNA
Source: RNAcentral